Molecule: ribosomal RNA, 253 nt
Filed under: uncultured bacterium
Lineage: Bacteria
Description: partial 16S ribosomal RNA
Rfam family: Bacterial small subunit ribosomal RNA
Source: RNAcentral
UACGUAGGGGGCUAGCGUUGUCCGGAAUCAUUGGGCGUGAAGAGCGUGUAGGCGGCCCGGUAAGUCCGCUGUAAAAGUCAAAGGCUCAACCUUUGAAUGUCAGUGGAUACUGCCGGGCUAGAGUCCGGAAGAGGCGAGUGGAACUCCUGGUGUAGCGGUGGAAUGCGCAGAUAUCAGGAAGAACACCAACGGCGAAGGCAGCUCGCUGGGACGGUACUGACGCUGAGACGCGAAAGCGUGGGGAGCGAACAGG